This 562-nucleotide ribosomal RNA is filed under the name uncultured marine bacterium. Its description in RNAcentral is "bacterial SSU rRNA". It matches the Rfam family "Bacterial small subunit ribosomal RNA", at positions 61 to 668 of the family's 1533-position model. The record is from RNAcentral.
GUCGAACGAAGUAGCAAUACUUAGUGGCAGACGGGUGAGUAACAUGUAGGUAUCUACCCUUUGGCCUGGAAUAACACGAGGAAACCUGUGCUAAUACCGGAUAAGUCUUUACGGAGAAAGCUUUAUGCACCAUUGGAUGAGCCUGCACUUGAUUAGUUAGUUGGUAGGGUAAUGGCCUACCAAGACUAUGAUCAAUAGCUGAUUUGAGAGGAUGAUCGGCCACAUUGGGACUGAGACACGGCCCAAACUCCUACGGGAGGCAGCAGUGGGGAAUCUUGCACAAUGGAGGAAACUCUGAUGCAGCGAUGCCGCGUGAGUGAAGAAGGCCCUUGGGUUGUAAAGCUCUUUCGUCGGGGAAGAAAAUGACUGUACCCGAAUAAGAAGGUCCGGCUAACUUCGUGCCAGCAGCCGCGGUAAUACGAAGGGACCUAGCGUAGUUCGGAAUUACUGGGCUUAAAGAGUUCGUAGGUGGUUGAAAAAGUUGGUGGUGAAAUCCCAGAGCUUAACUCUGGAACUGCCAUCAAAACUUUUCAGCUAGAGUUUGAUAGAGGAAAGCAGAUUU